This 74-nucleotide transfer RNA is filed under the name Actinomycetes bacterium. RNAcentral's name for it is "Actinobacteria bacterium (soil metagenome) tRNA-Leu". It matches the Rfam family "tRNA". Rfam says of the family: Transfer RNA (tRNA) molecules are approximately 80 nucleotides in length. Their secondary structure includes four short double-helical elements and three loops (D, anti-codon, and T loops). Lineage: Bacteria; Bacillati; Actinomycetota; Actinomycetes. The record is from RNAcentral. RNAcentral also lists the same sequence under 3 other names.
GCUCCCGUAGCCCAACCGGCAGAGGCACGGCACUCAAAAUGCCGCAAGUCAGGGUUCGAAUCCCUGCGGGAGCA